This is a long non-coding RNA of Echinops telfairi (small Madagascar hedgehog), 1801 nucleotides long. RefSeq lists it as uncharacterized. The transcript is spliced from 3 exons. The record is from RefSeq and is a predicted model, not a curated record. NCBI's taxonomy places the organism in Eukaryota, Metazoa, Chordata, Mammalia, Afrosoricida, Tenrecidae.
CCACGCCGCUUGUUGGCUAGUUCAUGUUCCAGUAACUUUGGCCUCUGUUAGAGAGAGAAGCAACUCCCACCCCCAGAGAGGGGGUCUGCCCUGUGUGUCCUGCUGUCCAGUGUUCCUGUGUCUGAGGGGUUUGUGGCCAUGUGGCCUGGGGCCAGCCCUGUAGCUUUUCUCAGGCUCUUUCCUUCCCCAUAAAUUGAGACUUCCCUUGGCACCACCUCCCGCUGCCACCGCCCCCCCCCCCUCCUCAAGGUUCAACGAUAACCAGGGGAGUGGCUACCUGGGAAGCCCCGAGUGUCCUCGAGAACUCUGGGCCUUCUUGCCUGGAGGGGUUGCUGAUAGUUGGUCCCCAGCUCUCUAGGACAUUAGCAUGCUGGGACCUUGAAGCAAAGGCUUCCUUCCGCCUCUUCCUUCACCCUCCAAGGGAAAUGGAGCCAAGCCCAGACCACUCUGCCUGUUUUUUAUUGGGUCCCGAACUCAGGACAGAGGCAGGGGGUACUGAAGCAGGGCUUUCUAGCCUCGCACCCCCUCAGGGUCCCCAGUCUCCUGUGUGCAUCAAUAGAGGGUAGAGGUUCUAGGAGGUUCAACCUCUUCUUGAGGCCUGCCUCAGCCUUGGGUUGGUUGCAGGGUCUGGCCUUGAGCUUGCCUUUGGCCUUGACCUUUCUGUGGGUCAUAGGAAGCACCCCAACAUCAAAGGCUAGAGGUCUCAAGGUGCUUCCCGGAUGGGGGCCAUGCAGGCUCUGGACAGCAGCAGCCUCGGUGUGAAAGGAGGGGAGGGGAGGGAGAGAUGAUCAGAAAGUCUGUCCAGGAAAGGGCUCGGCUCAGGAAGGGGGUUUCCAGACAAACGGGCUCUUCCCUUGGGGUACCACCCAGCCUGGGCCUGCCCUCUGGUUGUACCCUCCAGCCCUGACACCAGUGCUCAGCCUGGCCAGCCAGCAGUGCAAGUCACCAUUGAAGGCCCACCUUGUUUGGUCUCUGGCUGGGUGCGGGUCUGUGCUCAGGCUGUGGGAGGACAAUGAAGAUUUUGGCCACAGGGAGUGUCAUCCAGGCCUUCCCUGUGGUCCACAGUGCCUUAGAAUCCACCAGCUUGUGCUGCAGCCUGGCGGCCCAGACCGGGGGAGAAGACAGCAGGCUGGGGAAGCCAUAAGGGGCUGUGGGAGCGAGCAAGGCAGCUCAUGAGGGUGGGCCUGGGGAAGCUGCCCCACUAGGUAUACACUGCGGGCAGGGUGGAAUGAGGGUGUGGUAAGGGCAGCUGUGUGCCCCUCCCACCCCCGUUCUUCCAGAAGCCACGGGAAGAACCUAAGGUUUGGAGACCAAGAGGCCUUGGUCUGCAUCCCAGCCCUGCCCUGUCUGAGCUGCGCAGCUUCCUUAAACUUCCAGAUUCCUCUCGUCUGGAAACUGGAGGAGAGCCCCUGUCUGGGUGGUUGUGAGGACCCAGGGAGCCGGUCUGGUAGGGACCCGGUGUUCGUUGCGGAGUGCUGCACAGCCCUCGACCAGGAGCCGGAUGCCCACGUACUGGGGCACGUCCACGGCCGGCUGUGGGGGAGAAGAGGAAACGAGGCCUGCUCAGUCAGGACCCAGGGCAGAGCGAGCAAGCAUCACCUUGUAAUGUGCUGGAUCCUUCGACUGAGGGCGUGCAGCGCCUGCCAACUGUUUCUCCUGCUGGAGUGUAAGCAGCCUGAUUGAAUCACGUGUAACUCCUCCAUUAUAGCAACUGCACUUCUGUUGGGCCCAAGACCUGGGAACUGUAGCUUGGGCAAGCUGACACAGAUUACUGAAUACUCUAAGUGCCUGAAACAGUAAA